Molecule: ribosomal RNA, 253 nt
Filed under: uncultured bacterium
Lineage: Bacteria
Description: partial 16S ribosomal RNA
Rfam family: Bacterial small subunit ribosomal RNA
Source: RNAcentral
UACAGAGGUCUCAAGCGUUGUUCGGAUUCAUUGGGCGUAAAGGGUGCGUAGGCGGCGUGGUAAGUCGGAUGUGAAAUCUCGGAGCUUAACUCCGAAACUGCAUUCGAUACUGCCGUGCUUGAGGACUGGAGAGGAGACUGGAAUUUACGGUGCAGCGGUGAAAUGCGUAGAUAUCGUAAGGAAGACCAGUGGCGAAGGCGGGUCUCUGGACAGUUCCUGACGCUGAGGCACGAAGGCCAGGGGAGCAAACGGG